Molecule: ribosomal RNA, 495 nt
Filed under: uncultured bacterium
Lineage: Bacteria
Description: partial 16S ribosomal RNA
Rfam family: Bacterial small subunit ribosomal RNA
Source: RNAcentral
GAUGAACGCUGGCGGCGUGCCUAAUACAUGCAAGUCGAACGCUGAAGGAGGAGCUUGCUCUUCUGGAUGAGUUGCGAACGGGUGAGUAACGCGUAGGUAACCUGCCUGGUAGCGGGGGAUAACUAUUGGAAACGAUAGCUAAUACCGCAUGACAACAGUUAUUGCAUGAUAACUGUUUAAAAGGAGCAACUGCUCCACUACCAGAUGGAGCUGCGUUGGAUUAGCUAGUUGGUGAGGUAACGGCUCACCAAGGCGACGAUACAUAGCCGACCUGAGAGGGGGGUCGGCCGCCCUGGGACUGUGACACGGCCCAGACUCCUACGGGCGGCAGCAGGAGGGAAUCUUCGGCCAUGGACGGAAGUCUGACCGAGCAACGCCGCGGGAGUGAAGAAGGUUGUCGGAUCGUAAAGGUCUGUUGUAAGAGAAGAACGAGUGUGAGAGUGGAAAGUUCACACUGUGACGGUAUCUGACCAGAAAGGGACGGCUAACUACGUG